Ictidomys tridecemlineatus (thirteen-lined ground squirrel) is the source of this 950-nucleotide non-coding RNA. The record is from RefSeq and is a predicted model, not a curated record. NCBI's taxonomy places the organism in Eukaryota, Metazoa, Chordata, Mammalia, Rodentia, Sciuridae.
UGGGGAGGAGGGCAGCUUGGGGAGGAGGCCCCGGGUGGCGGAGGGAGGGGAGAGCGCUCUUCUGCUCCCAGAGAUCACCCCAGAGCUGCGAGUUUGCUCACUUGGGGGUCUGCCUGAAGCUUUGUGGGCUUUGUGGGACUGGGCGCCGUCUCCUGCUGCGGAAAGGAACAAACUCUCACGUGCGGCUUUGCGAAGGCUCGUGUGCAGGACCCGGCUUCGGCGCUCGGUGCAGAUCCUGCAGGGCGAGAGGUUGUGGAUCUGCCCACACCUUUCCGAGGCUCACAAACCCAGUCUUCGGCGCCCGAGUUCCCACACUCUCCUCCUGCCCCCUCCCCCCCACCAUUCCCGGACUCUGCGCUUGGCUGCCCCUCCCCACACACACGCGGCUGUUUGUUUUUGUUGGGUUUGUCAAUGUUGUCUUUGUUCAAGAGAUUGUGUCAUCGCCUGGAUGCCGGGAAUAAAGUGCGACGCUGUGUGUGAUCAAGUGUGUAACGUGUGCGGCCAGAGCUAAGGGAUCCUCUGUCCACUAGUGCCGGAGUAGACAGUCUUAUUACCCUGAGCUUACCGAAGAGCAAACCGAGGCAGCGGAGAUGACGAUGUCCUGGAGAUCCACAGCCAGUAAGUGGCAGAGCCAGGUUUGUGACAAGGACUCCGAGAUAACCGCACAUUUCGGCUAGCCCCUGCCCCUGACUACUGACACAGGGCCUCCAGUGCUGGGCACACCUCCACUCAGAUGUUGCUGAUGGCUCCCAAGGGCGCUUCAUGUGGGCUCAUAAACUUGCUCUGUGCUUAGAGCACAGCAGGUGCAAUGUGUCCUGCUGGAGGAGGAGGGGCAGCAGGAGUCUCUGCCCUCCUGUGUCACCUCAGCUGAUUCCAUCCCUGAAGCCCCUGGGUUUCCCUGAGGCUGGACUGAGGACGGCUUUGGGUGCUUGCCACCCUGCUGUGCUGCA